Molecule: long non-coding RNA, 7855 nt
Filed under: Homo sapiens (human)
Lineage: Eukaryota; Metazoa; Chordata; Mammalia; Primates; Hominidae
Description: HSALNT0344591
Source: RNAcentral
GUCUUGCUGCGCAGUCACUCAAGCAAACGGCAGCAAAUGCAAACGCUCCAACGGCCAAAGCAAAUGAGACCCAUGAAGACGCCCCCGCCCCACAUGCUGGCGCCCCCCCAGGCACGGAGGUCUCGGGGUCAUCACUCACCAGCGAAGCCUCCGCACUCCAGAAGAAACAACAGGAGGAACGUGGGUGUUCUUCAAGGACGGCUCAACUAUGAGCGAAACUGUCAUCUUGCAUAGGUGGCCACGUAGGUGGCCAUAACCCCACAUCCCUUCACUGACACAUGGAAUAACACACUCAGAGUGCCCCGUACGGAUCUUUAGACUGAAUCCCUAAGAUUUCACAAGGAAGAAUGAAACACAGCUGAAGGAAUUCUGGCAUUGAAAUGAAUUUGAUGUGGCUGUAUCUAACGCCAUGUUCGCUUGGGAAAAUAUACUGCCUCUAUUGCAGUACAAUUAAUAAGAGUUUAAUGAUGAAACACUGGAAAUAUAUCACAGUUUUAUCUCUCUCUGAUCUUCCUCUAGCCCACGCCGUCCAUGUCCAACUUAUUGAAGAGCAUUGAGAUAACUGGCUUUGAAUCAUCAGACAGGUCACUCUGGAGAGCGGCUUAAAGUCUUUGCACCUCUUUCACAAAGAGCUCCUGGCAUCUAGCAGGCAGCAGCCAGUGAUGCUCCUAAAACCCUGCAAUACACAAGACGGUGCCCAUGAAGAGGAAUUAUGCAGCCCGGACGUCAGGAGAGCUGAGGAGAAAAGUGGCAUAUUGAAAAGGGCCCUGCACUCUGUCGCUGAUCUGUGUGAUGCCAGACUCUGUGGGGCCCAGCUUCCUCAUCCUGAAAUGCAGAAUAGUCAAGCCCACUUCCAGGGUGAGUGGACAGUUCCACGAUGCACGUGGAAUAUGAGAAAUGCACAAAUAUCCACUUCCCCUCUCAAGUGGCGAUGACAUGUGAGCUAAAAGCCCUGCCACAAUUCUAUUCUUCCAGCUCAGCCCUGAGAUGUCCUGUUAGCAAUGAUUUAUUCACCUCAAAUUUCAACAUCCAGUUUCAUUACCAUCAAAUUUAAGAAAACAUAAAAGAUCUUCAAAUUCCUUCUUUUCCAAUCAAGUCACGGGAAGUGAGAGGAUAAUAGAGUUCUGCAGAAGAGAUUUCCAAUUACAGAAGCCACAAACCACCACAGCAUAUUAAACCUGCAGUGACUGGGCAGCAACGCGCUGGGCAGAGCACCAGCCUGAGUCAUCCUGCCUUUCUGUCCAUCUCCCAUGCCUGGAGUCCAGGAACCACGCCUGACUUCUGCCAAGCGGACAACUGCUCUGAACCUCUGCCCUGGCGCAAAUGCCAUCCACGAGGAUACAGCACCAGCCAGGUCCAAGUCAGGAAAUGAGUGAGUUACUAGAAAUAGAGGCCGAAUGAAAGGCUUACGGCUAAAGACAGCAUCCGUUUAGUUCCCCUCAAUGCCUGUCUGAGGACUGCUGACCAGGUGCUGAGACUGUUAAUGCAUACAGGACGGAGGCAAAAGAAAGACGUGUCUUACUCUCUUCCUCGAGGAGCUGACACAUGCAUCUGGGAGGCAAGAAACAUGCAGGAUGGUUUAUAAAAGCAAUGACAGUGCCUCAGCCAGGGCUGCUUCCAAUGACAAUUAAUGCAAUCAUAUUACACGAAUGGUAUUAGAAGUGGCUGACACAUAAACUACUUACUAUCCAUGGUGUAAAGCGCUGUUCUAGGCGCCUAACAUACAGAUGAACUUAUUCAAAUUCUAUCCAUGGUGUAAAGCCCUGUUCUAGGCACCUAACACACAGAUGAACUUAUUCAAUCCUUACAACAGUCCUGUGUGGUGCGUUACUCAUCUUUUAUGCCCAAUUUAAUGAUGAAGAAACAGAGGAGUGGAACUUGCCCCAGGCCAGGCAGUGGUAACCCUCAGAGCCUGGGUGCCGAGUCCGGCUCCUACAUACACCAGCAAAGCAGAGAAAGAGAAUGCAAGAGUGGAGCGGUUGUCUGGGGUGAUCCCAGGAACAGGUGCCUUCAGAUGGCUUCUAAUCCUCAUUGGGUGUGACAGCUCCCCGUGCUCCCUGUAGCAACCAGAGGGUGAUAAAAGACAGCUUUUCUUCUUUUGUAAAAUUGACUUUUCAGCAUUUUAUUUUAAGCAAAUGAAACACAAAAGAAAUGUGACUUGUUACUUAAGUAUAGAUGCUUUAAAUAGAAGAUAAAGGAGAGUGGAAUGCCCCAACCUAUUUUAAGUUCAUUUUCCACCUCACUAUUUUGAAAGCAUGAAUGGUAAGAUAAACAGUGAGAAGUCCUGGAGGGUAUUAAGGUGGUGACGAGAUGGUGCAACCCCACCUGCCCAGGGAGAGCAAGGGUUUGGCUGGGAUGAAUCACGCCGUGUGACUGCUGCCGACCUUCGGGGAACUGCUGAGAACUUGUCAGAGCCAGGCACCGUGGGACAUCACCUCCAUUUUCUACCUGCCUUCAGAGUCGGCCACUCUGAAGGGCAGUGCUGAGGACACUGAGAGAGAACUCUCAGGGAAAGACUAGGGCUCAAUUCGAGGAAGACCUUUCCAAUUGUCAUAAAUAUCCGAAGACCUGUGGGAGAAAAGCUGCCUAGGGACAGUGUUAGUCACCCCGAGAAAUGGCCAAUGGGGGCUGGACCGCAACUGGGGAGGAUGCUGCUGAACUCAGGUCUGAGGGCAACUGCGUGAAGAAGCCCUAAGGCCCCCAUCACUCUGAGAUUUCAGGGCUCAUACGUUCUCUGCACACUCGGCACCUCCUCAGGCUGCAGCGGCUGCCUCUGCACGCCCCAGGACGGCGUCUUCCCGCCAGGCUUGUGCCUUGCGCCUCGCGCCUCCAAGUCUCUACUGUGGAUCCGUGAGAGCAUCAGAGAACCACGGCAUUUUCCUACAUCACUGCUGUGUGCUUUGCACAGAUGCAAAAUGUUAAAAGAGUUCAGAGGCUGCAGGACUUGGCAGGGCUAGGGUAAGUUGGAAAAGCCUUCCUAAGAGCCUAGAUAUUUGGACAGGGCGUGCAAGGUGGGUGUGAUUUAGAUGUGAGAAUGGAGUUUCAUGCAUUCCACCUAAAGGAAUGUAGCAGAAUGGGACGUCCUGUAAGAUACAGGCACAUCGAGAAUUUACACUGGAGGCCAAAUGAAGUAGACAGGGAAACAAGGGGAAGGAAUUCUUGGUGCAAAACCAACUGUGAGGGGCUGAAAUGUGGCCCCCAGAUUCCUAACCCCCAGGACCUCAGAAUGUGACUGCAUGUGAAGAUAGGGUUUCAUCAAACAGGACUGGGGUCCUUACAGGAAGGGGUGAUCACGACACAGACACACACACAGAGGGAUGACCAUGUGAGGUCACAGCAAGAAGACAGCGUCUGCCAGCCAAGGGGAGGCCUUGGGAAUCCAGCCCUGCCCACAUCUCCAUCUGGGACUUCUGGCUUCCAGGACUAUGAGAGAAUAAAUGUUGUUGAAACCACACUAUCUGUGGAAUUUUGUAAUGACAGCCCCAGCAGAGGAACACCAGCCUUGAAAGCUUUGAUCAAAAGCUGUCCAUUAUUUUAUAACAUAGAACUGUGGAAUUCCAAUGUGGAUUUAGGGUUCUGCAUUCUCUGCUGUGCUGUAAGCUCCAAGCAGGAAGGGGCUGUGUGUGCGGGAACUAGCUCAGUGUCUACCUGUGUCCCACUCCGGGCACCGGGCGUCACGUGCACAGAGUUGAGGGUGACACCUAGUAUGUGCGGAGGACCUGCGUUUGGCACAGGAACGGACGAUCAGUUGUGGAUGCUGUAUUACAGGAAGACGCCACUUAGAGCCAUCGCAGUCAAUUUGACCUUUGUGCUGGGAGAGCAUCAGGAAUAGAUGGUUCCAGGCUAAGUAAAAGUUUACCUACAUGCUGCAGAGAUGCCUUGGAUUUCAAGCCAGCACGGGCUGCUGCGGCUGUAUUUCUGGAGUCAGCAGAUAAUGAAUUAUUAGAUCACCAGCUAAUGAGGUAACGCUGUAGCAUACCACAUGCUUUAUGCCAAAAAUAAAAAAUUGAUAUACGGCACCAGACGCACAAAAAGACUCAUAAACAUCUUAGUCAUCUUGAAAGAUUUGCCUUUAUCCAUUUUUAAUUAUUAAUCCUCCCCAAAUAGGCCCAUGUUUAAUAAAUGGAGGUCAGGCUUGAUGGUAUAUUCUAUAAAUAUUUACUGUGAUAGACCUCAUUGUAUUUCUACAUUUUUCAGAGCACAGCAUAGGGGAGAGCUUUGCCCACAGCUCCCCGUGUGGCCACACAACUUGCACACAUACAUACAUGCACACACACAUACCCACACACAUGCACAUAUGCACAUGCACCCAUACACAUAUAUACACACGCAUGCACACACACAUGCAUGCACACACACAGCUAUGCACAUGCACAUACACAUAAUACACACACAUACACACAUACCUGCACACACGCACACACAUGCUCACACAUACAUGCAUACACACCUGCACACAGAUAUAUGGACACACACGUACACACACGUGCACAUACACACACACAUGCACACGUAUGUGCACUACAAAUACAUACACAUGCAUACACGCACAUGCCUACAUACAUACAAUCAGCACUCAACACAACAGCAACACAGGAGGCCGCCGUGAUAGGUAUGCACGUUAAAAUGUGAAAGCAGAGUCAAUCCCCAAAAUAAAACCAAUCAGUCCCCAUCUGGUGACUGAGGAGGGAGGUGAAUCCUGACGGCAAAGCCUGUGCUGGCUCCAUGCCAGGCACUAAAGAUCAUCCGGAACAACUGAGCUUGUUCGGGUAUCUGACUUCUCUGCCCCCUCUUCUCUCUCUUACCAGUUUAUAUAUGAUUUAUGUCUAGAUAAAGGCUAAAUAACUUGCUAUUUGUGAUACAAUCUUGAUAUUUAAUCCAAAUACACCGUAAAUACACAACAGAGUGAUUUUCUGAACUGCAGUGAAGGACGUGCUGCAAUAGGGAACCGUUUUAAAUGAGACACGCAUUAAACACUCUUUGUUACAAAACUAAGACGUAGCAUAGUUUCCAUGCAUAGCAACCACAAUUACCUUCCAAAAUGCUUUUUCUUAGCAACAUGUGAGCUAUGCCUUUCCUGAUGUUUUAGAAUGGUGAAAGCAGCUCUAGAGGGGAGGUGACAACGAUCCCACUGUCCUCUGCGGCCCCCAGCAGGGUGUGCCUGGACUUUUGGAAUUCCGCCUGCUCCACAGGCACGUGCUGGGCUUGGGAGUUAUGAAUGAGGCUCUGAGCCACAACGCCCAUUAGUGUGUGCUAAUUUUUGUGUGCUAGUUGGUCUGUGGAUUUUCCCAGAGAGACAGGAACAAGUUUUCAGCAGAAUCUUAAAAGGUUUGAGAUGAAAAGGAGAAUCCAAAAGAAUCAUCUUCAGGCAUCAAUUCCUAGAGAAAGCUUUUGAGUUUGCAUGUUCUGUGUUAUGUCACCUAUGGUGACUCCUAGGAAGUCACCAGGCUAUGGUCAAAAUUCUUGCAUUUUGAUUCAAUGGCCAACCCCCCAUUCCUAAGAUAAACUGUUUCUCAAAAUAUGAUCUGCAGUUCAUAAGUCAUAUAGUCACCGGGGUCUGUGGUCAUGUGCAUGUGUGUUGGAAAGGUUGCUACGUAAAUGUUAACAGUGUUAUUUACCGGGGUCUGUGGUCACAUGUGUGUGUGUUGGAGGGGUUGCCAUGUAAAUGUUAACACUGUUAUUUACCGGGGUCUGUGGUCACGUGCGUGUGUGUUGGAGGGGUUGCCAUGUAAAUGCUAACAGUGUUAUUUACCGGGGUCUGUGGUCACAUGCAUGUGUGUUGGAGGGGUUGCCAUGUAAAUGUUAACACUGUUAUUAGCAUUUCUUGCAUCUCUCAGUAACUCACUUCACCACAGACCCCCUUAUUACAUUUUUCUUAUUCUGAGCAAACGUGCUGCGGGGACCCGAGACAGAAGGUCCAGCCUCCUGGAUGAUGCCUGCUCUCCAUCCUUGUGGGGUGCAGGCAUCUCUUUCCACUUCCCAGCUCACCUCCUGUCCUGCCCCUUUCUUCUGCACCAAGUGAAUUCUGCCACCUCUCCACGCCAUUGGGUCCCCUGCUCUGUUCCUGUGCCCCUGUACACUGCUCUGCCGGGGUGCCUCUGCCCCAUCCCUCCCCUCACACCUCUGCCUUGUCCCAGGUCAGCCGCUGAACAUCCCCAAAGCCUCAGCUCAGGAAGACCAACUCCAGGAAGGCCUCCUGGGCUGCCCCCCACUUCAGAUGGGGACCCACGUCUGUUCUUGCUGCCCUGAGGACACAGUGCGCUUGGUUCUCUCACAACAUGCCCUUGCAGAAUGACAGUUCUCUGUCCCUGGGUGUGCAGCCCCUCCAGCCUGGGAAUUCCUAAACAACAGGAGACAUGUCUCAUGCACCUGUAUCUCCAGUCCUUAGCACUGGCUAUAGUACAAAUGGGUGAUAAAUGUUUACUUUAUGAAGGAAUAAACAAAUGCAUGAAUAUUGACAGUACAGAAAGCAGCACAUUAGAAUUCAUUGUUUAAAUGGAGGGAAAAGGAGAGAAAGAAAAAGAAAAUAGGAAACUUUUCAACUUGUAAAAACUUGAUGAAUCCCCAGCACAGUGUCUGGCCUUCGGGUGCACAGUGACAUAAGGCACAUCUGCCCCUGCCCGGCUGCGGUUCCUGGGAUGGCACCUCUGUGGCAGAAGCCAGGCUGGACGGUGCCGUGAGGGGAGGUUUCCCAAGGAUGAUGGACAUCUGAGCAAUUUCUCCACAAAGAGACGUGAAGCUACAGGCAUGUGGCUUCUGCCAUCACCUGUUUUUCCUCCUGGGCAGAUGUUUAUUCUGGGGAGUUAGAGAGAGGUGACACUGUGUAUUUACGUCUGAGCUGCGGCCCCCCAGGGCCCCGACAUGAGACAUGGCACAGCUCUGGUCCCCCACGUGCCUUCUCACAGGCUCGCCCUCCGCGUGGGCCUCAGAACUCCCAGGAAAUUUAGAAAUUUAGUGACAUUGGCUGCAGCGGCUCCAUCUACUGGGACCCGAGAUUGAUUUUGCUUGGCUCGGCACACUUGGAUGCUUGGUUUUGGAGACAGGUCAAUGCCAUUAAUAGCUAGAGGACAUCCAGGUAGCAGCUUUUAGUGUGGCAAGAAUUAUUUUAUCUCGGCGAGCAAACUUCCCGAAGCCAUCCACAUUCUGCCGGACCUGCCAUCCUGGACCUGGGAGGGCACCUGCUCAGUAACUGCAGUUUCUUCUUCAUUAGGAGUGAGCCCUGUGGAUUCCAGUGAGCUCCAUCUGCCCCUUCCCCCUCCACGGUUGGAGAGGAGAGCCAGUGGAGAGGCAGGAAUCCAAGCAUCUCCCUGCUCCCCUGUGCCUGUUUCCCAGCAUCUGGGGACCCUGGGCCACCUGCAGCCUCGGUGCGGAGAUCCCAGGCUCAGCACCUGAGCCACACAUCCCCGGAGCUUGAGGCUCUGGGAGAGUGAGGGGUCCCUAAGGAGUGUCUCCCAGGUGCAGGUGUGGACCGGGUAGAAGUGACCACCCAGGUCCUAACACACCCCUCAAAUGCCCCGAACCACAGAUGGCUUUGUCUUGACUGCAGGCCCCUGACCUCCCGCUUCGUAGAGCAUCUACUUUAUAAAAACGUGUCCUUGCGGGGUUUCUCUAUGGUCAUCUCAGUCGUAAAUCUUCUGCCAGGCUCUUCCUAGCUGUGCGUGUCUCUGAGGGCCCGGUUCCCAUCCCUGUGAACACAGGCAUGGAGGGAGUGGGGCCCUGUGCCCAGUCUCUGAGGAAGGUGGGAGCUUCGCUGCUGUUCCAAGUUUUAAAACUACCCCCUGCCAUGAAGAUAAGAGAAUUUGCUCCUCCUCUGGAAAAGGCUGAUCAGCAAACGCAAAGCCCUGGGAGCCUCCCC